UACGGAGGGGGCUAGCGUUGUCCGGAAUUACUGGGCGUAAAGCGCACGUAGGCGGCUUUGUAAGUUAGAGGUGAAAGCCCGGGGCUCAACUCCGGAAUUGCCUUUAAGACUGCAUCGCUAGAAUUGUGGAGAGGUAAGUGGAAUUCCGAGUGUAGAGGUGAAAUUCGUAGAUAUUCGGAAGAACACCGGUGGCGAAGGCGGCCAACUGGACGAAUACUGACGCUGAGACACGAAAGCGUGGGGAGCAAACAGG
Molecule: ribosomal RNA, 253 nt
Filed under: uncultured bacterium
Lineage: Bacteria
Description: partial 16S ribosomal RNA
Rfam family: Bacterial small subunit ribosomal RNA
Source: RNAcentral